Molecule: long non-coding RNA, 463 nt
Organism: Hydractinia symbiolongicarpus
Lineage: Eukaryota; Metazoa; Cnidaria; Hydrozoa; Anthoathecata; Hydractiniidae
Exons: 3
Source: RefSeq, a predicted model, not a curated record
GGAAGAAGGAAGUUUAAACAACCCUUCUACUGAUAAGACGAUUUCGGCAGGCAACCAAGUCAUACUUCCUUGCAGGGAAUAACAUUCUAGCAUCAUAUAAAUUUUCGACAUCGCAUAUGACCAAGUCCGCUGGAGUGGGAAACAGUCUAGACGAAAUUCGUUGUAUCAUCAAACCAGCAAACAUCCCAAUCACAGGAAAUGUAAAAACGAUAAAUGCAUUUCAAGGGAUCACCUGAUAUUUACGUCAUGUGAUGUAAAGUUGUUUGCAUGUCGAUGCACCCGAACAAUCACUGUUACACCGUCAAGGAGAAGAAAAUACCCUUAGUGUCUAAAAUUAAGAAAACUACUUUGUAAUACUUCUUUCUUUAUUUUCUCUUUAUCCAAGCAUUUUUAUCAUAUAUUUUUGCCAUACGUUCGUCACCUUUCUACUAUAAUUUUUUGUAUAUCCAGAGCGAACGUUAGU